This 448-nucleotide ribosomal RNA is filed under the name Flavobacterium sp. So2Pw_1322. RNAcentral's name for it is "bacterial SSU rRNA". It matches the Rfam family "Bacterial small subunit ribosomal RNA", at positions 379 to 825 of the family's 1533-position model. The record is from RNAcentral. Lineage: Bacteria; Pseudomonadati; Bacteroidota; Flavobacteriia; Flavobacteriales; Flavobacteriaceae.
CAGCCUGACCAGCCAUGCCGCGUGCAGGAUGACGCAUCUAUGGUGUGUAAACUGCUUUUGUACGGGAAGAAACCCUGCCACGUGUGGCAGAUUGACGGUACCGUAAGAAUAAGGAUCGGCUAACUCCGUGCCAGCAGCCGCGGUAAUACGGAGGAUCCAAGCGUUAUCCGGAAUCAUUGGGUUUAAAGGGUCCGUAGGCGGUUUUAUAAGUCAGUGGUGAAAUCCGGCAGCUCAACUGUCGAACUGCCAUUGAUACUGUAGAACUUGAAUUAUUGUGAAGUAACUAGAAUAUGUAGUGUAGCGGUGAAAUGCUUAGAUAUUACAUGGAAUACCCAUUGCGAAGGCAGGUUACUAACAAUAUAUUGACGCUGAUGGACGAAAGCGUGGGGAGCGAACAGGAUUAGAUACCCUGGUAGUCCACGCCGUAGACGAUGGAUACUAGCUGUUC